GAUGAGCGCUGGCGGCGUGCUUAACACAUGCAAGUCGAACGGGAAUUACUUUAUUGAAACUUCGGUCGAUUUAAUUUAAUUCUAGUGGCGGACGGGUGAGUAACGCGUGGGUAACCUGCCUUGUACAGGGGGAUAACAGUCAGAAAUGGCUGCUAAUACCGCAUAAGCGCACAGGACCGCAUGGUCCGGUGUGAAAAACUCCGGUGGUAUAAGAUGGACCCGCGUUGGAUUAGCUUGUUGGCAGGGUAACGGCCUACCAAGGCGACGAUCCAUAGCCGGCCUGAGAGGGUGAACGGCCACAUUGGGACUGAGACACGGCCCAGACUCCUACGGGAGGCAGCAGUGGGGAAUAUUGCACAAUGGGGGAAACCCUGAUGCAGCGACGCCGCGUGAAGGAAGAAGUAUCUCGGUAUGUAAACUUCUAUCAGCAGGGAAGAGAUUGACGGUA
This 448-nucleotide ribosomal RNA is filed under the name uncultured bacterium. Its description in RNAcentral is "bacterial SSU rRNA". It matches the Rfam family "Bacterial small subunit ribosomal RNA", at positions 28 to 477 of the family's 1533-position model. The record is from RNAcentral.